AGAGUUUGAUCCUGGCUCAGGACGAACGCUGGCGGCGUGCUUAACACAUGCAAGUCGAGCGGAAAGGCCCUUCGGGGUACUCGAGCGGCGAACGGGUGAGUAACACGUGGGCAACCUGCCCCUCGCUCUGGGAUAACUCCGGGAAACCGGGGCUAAUACCGGAUAUGACUCUCUUAGGCAUCUUCGAGGGUGGAAAGUUUUUCGGCGAGGGAUGGGCCCGCGGCCUAUCAGCUUGUUGGUGGGGUGAUGGCCUACCAAGGCAGUGACGGGUAGCCGGCCUGAGAGGGCGACCGGCCACACUGGGACUGAGACACGGCCCAGACUCCUACGGGAGGCAGCAGUGGGGAAUAUUGCGCAAUGGGCGAAAGCCUGACGCAGCGACGCCGCGUGAGGGAUGACGGCCUUCGGGUUGUAAACCUCUUUCAGCAGGGACGAAGCGCAAGUGACGGUACCUGCAGAAGAAGCACCGGCCAACUACGUGCCAGCAGCCGCGGUAAUACGUAGGGUGCAAGCGUUGUCCGGAAUUAUUGGGCGUAAAGAGCUCGUAGGCGGCUUGUCACGUCGACUGUGAAAACCCGGGGCUCAACUCCGGGCCUGCAGUCGAUACGGGCUGGCUUGAGUGCGGUAGGGGAGACUGGAAUUCCUGGUGUAGCGGUGAAAUGCGCAGAUAUCAGGAGGAACACCGGUGGCGAAGGCGGGUCUCUGGGCCGUAACUGACGCUGAGGAGCGAAAGCGUGGGGAGCGAACAGGAUUAGAUACCCUAGUAGUCC
RNAcentral lists this ribosomal RNA (770 nucleotides) under uncultured bacterium. Its description in RNAcentral is "bacterial SSU rRNA". It matches the Rfam family "Bacterial small subunit ribosomal RNA", at positions 8 to 796 of the family's 1533-position model. The record is from RNAcentral.